GCUGCUGUUCUACAGUCACCAAACUCCCUGAUAGAGCUGGACCUGAGUCUCAAUGACCUGGGAGAUUCUGGAGUCCAUCUUGUCUCUAAGGGACUGUCUAGUCCCCACUGCAAACUGCAGACCUUAAGGCUCAGUCAGUGUGAUAUUUCAGAUGAAGGUUAUGUUUCCCUGGCUCUGGCUCUGAUGUUAAACCCCUCCUGUGUGAAAGAGCUGGAUGUGAACAACAAUCAUCCUGGAGAAUCAGCACAGAAACUGUUAUCUGCUACACUGAAGGAUCCUCAUCGCAAAGCUGAAGCACCUCAUCACCAAACUCCCUGAUAGAACUGGACCUGAGUCACAAUGACCUGGGAGAUUCUGGAGUCCAUCUUCUCUCUAAGGGACUGUCUAGUCCCCACUGCAGAGUGCACACAUUAAGACUUGCUAAGGGCAAACUCUCAGAGAAGUCCUGUGGAAUUGUGGCUGCUGUUCUACAGUCACCAAACUCCCUGAUAGAGCUGGACCUGAGUCACAAUGACCUGGGAGAUUCUGGAGUCCAUCUUCUCUCUAAGGGACUGUCUAGUCCCCACUGCAAACUGCAGAC
This is a long non-coding RNA of Sardina pilchardus (European sardine), 580 nucleotides long. RefSeq lists it as uncharacterized. The transcript has 4 exons. Lineage: Eukaryota; Metazoa; Chordata; Actinopteri; Clupeiformes; Clupeidae. The record is from RefSeq and is a predicted model, not a curated record.